CUACGGGUGCAGCAGUGAGGAAUAUUGGUCAAUGGGCGCGAGCCUGAACCAGCCAUCCCGCGUGCAGGAUGACGGCCCUAUGGGUUGUAAACUGCUUUUCUAUGCCAAGAAACCUGAUUACGUGUAAUCAGUUGCCGGUAGCAUAGGAAUAAGCAUCGGCUAACUCCGUGCCAGCAGCCGCGGUAAUACGGAGUGAUGCAAGCGUUAUCCGGAUUCAUUGGGUUUAAAGGGUGCGCAGGUGGGCUUGUAAGUCAGUGGUGAAAUGCUGCCGCUUAACGGUAGAACUGCCAUUGAUACUGCGAGUCUUGAGUAUGGUUGAGGUAGGCGGAAUGUGUUGUGUAGCGGUGAAAUGCAUAGAUAUGACACAGAACGCCAAUUGCGAAGGCAGCUUACUAAGCCAUUACUGACGCUGAGGCACGAAAGCGUGGGGAGCGAACAGGAUUAGAUACCCCUGUAGUC
RNAcentral lists this ribosomal RNA (459 nucleotides) under uncultured bacterium. RNAcentral describes it as "partial 16S ribosomal RNA". It matches the Rfam family "Bacterial small subunit ribosomal RNA", at positions 339 to 795 of the family's 1533-position model. The record is from RNAcentral.